GAUGCCCUCGGGACUCAUACAUGAUGAACCGAUACUGUUUUAAAGGGAGCUCAACAUUGCACGCGGAUUAGGGAUUCACCACAACCGUGCCGUGAAAGCUGUGAAGCGUACUGAGAGCACCCACCUGGUGUAAGGUGGGUUCAUCCUUUUUGUUCCGGGGGUAUCU
RNAcentral lists this non-coding RNA (166 nucleotides) under Eggerthellaceae bacterium. Its description in RNAcentral is "6S RNA". It matches the Rfam family "6S / SsrS RNA". From Rfam's summary of the family: E. coli 6S RNA was the first non coding RNA to be sequenced, but its function was unknown until recently. It consists of 184 nucleotides that fold into an extended hairpin structure with a large single-stranded internal bulge. Lineage: Bacteria; Bacillati; Actinomycetota; Coriobacteriia; Eggerthellales; Eggerthellaceae. The record is from RNAcentral.